CUGUGAAUAUCUAUCUAUAUAAAAUAUUUUUACUAUAAACUGUCAAUAUCUGAGAGAGUUUUAUCUACAUAUUUCUCUUCACAUACAGAUAUGAUCACCACAUAAGGUCAACGUGAUCAGUGCCCUCAACAGAGACUUCACAAACAUGAACCCUCUUCCAGAAUACAGCAGACACCAAAUGUUUUUUAACAGCUGAAAAUUUUCAGAGGACACUGAAAAUUGCUUUGAAGAUCUUUAUAACUCUGUGCCACCUGCUCAAGAACAGGAACAACAACCCCAGUUGAAUAGAAAAAUGACCAAAAUCCUCUCUAUUGACACCUACAGUUUGGACUUGCAAAGAAAACUUAGG
Molecule: long non-coding RNA, 349 nt
Filed under: Fukomys damarensis (Damara mole-rat)
Lineage: Eukaryota; Metazoa; Chordata; Mammalia; Rodentia; Bathyergidae
Description: lncRNA (ENSFDAG00000025210.1)
Source: RNAcentral